GUAACAAGUAUAGAUUAAGCAUCGGUUACAUUGACAACUUAGGUAGAUUUAUUACUGAAAUAGAGCCAGAUCCUCAUAGGAAAUACGAAUCUCGCUUGACUCGGGCUGUAAAACGAUUGUAAAUAUAGAACAAGAUAAGGCUAAGGAAGAGUUUAGCAUGGAGGAUCGCUGAGAUGAUCGUUCGUGAAAUCACGUCCUUGACACUCGGGGCUACGAAUCUUCCUUCUUGA
Ooceraea biroi (clonal raider ant) is the source of this 230-nucleotide long non-coding RNA. RefSeq lists it as uncharacterized. The record is from RefSeq and is a predicted model, not a curated record. NCBI's taxonomy places the organism in Eukaryota, Metazoa, Arthropoda, Insecta, Hymenoptera, Formicidae.